Daphnia magna is the source of this 1205-nucleotide long non-coding RNA. RefSeq lists it as uncharacterized. The transcript is spliced from 4 exons. The record is from RefSeq and is a predicted model, not a curated record. Lineage: Eukaryota; Metazoa; Arthropoda; Branchiopoda; Diplostraca; Daphniidae.
CCUAUUUCAGUGAAAAACGAGAACAUCAGUAUGUCUCGUUUUUAAUCAAAUUGUCUUUUUAAAUCAGUAAAAGUCAUGCUAGUCUGUUAGAACAAUGUCGACACUAACGUGGUGGCCAGGAUAUCGGGUGGAUUCAGCGUUUGAAUAGUCAAAGAAGUCGAGGAUAUAUCCAUAACCGAAAGGGUUACUUUGGGAUUGGUGCGUCCGGCCUGCGUGAAUUAGAUAUAGGCGAAAACCAAGAGUUAUAAAACCAUCACCCCUCAACCAUUCAAAUAAAAGUGUGAGGUCCGUUAGCCAGCAGAAAUUCAACUUUGCAGUGUUUCAACUAACUUUUGUCUGAACUCUUCGGGAAUUGGAAUGAGACCCUUGCUGAAAUGCGGUCCGCUAUGGACUGAUCCAUCCUUAUGCAGAUCGACGCUCCAUAUGGCCACUGUUGGAUUAGGACGACCGGGCUGAACAUGUCGAGCAUAUUGGGAGGGAACAUCCAACCAUACCUUAGGAUAGCGGAUGGCAUUGGUAACUGGAUACUGGUCUUUAAUUGAACCAGCCUCUCCAUAAACUGAGAACUCCAUGUGGUCGACUUGACGAUCAUCAAAAGAGGCGAAUACCAUGCGAGCUCCGCUGUUGGCAAUCCAAAUAGCGUUGUCUUGACUCAGUACCUCCUCUGCAACUCACGAAAGAGUCACAACGAUGUAAAAAUACGACAAAAAAGAAAUGUGCACGACUAACCUUCAUAAACCCAAUCAGGGACGCCAUUGAACACGGCCUCGUGUUCGCCGUCAGUGGUGAGGCGAACAUCAGGUACUGUAGAGUCUGGAGUCUGCCGGAAAUAGAUAUCAUUGGCGUACACAUAAAUUAUAUUAUUUUCUUUCUUGUUCCAUGUGGCGUAACGCAUUUGCGGCUGAGGUUCGUCUGGACGAGGUCUUAGCGGAUAAACAAUUUUCCCUUUCCAAGUCGAUGAUGGAAUAGCGAGCCAAACUCGAAUACCGACAAUUUUCCCUGGAGGACGGGAACAGAACGCCUCCCAUUUUCGAAAAGAGAAAAUAAUGCCUGGAAAAAAAUGUAGAAAAAAAAACACCCUUCUUCGGUCAAAAAUACCAUCAGCAUAUACUUUCACUUUCGGGAGAUCUCUGCAUGGUUCAAUUAUGACCUGUAUAUUCACGUACUCGUACCUGCCUCAGCUCGCAAUCCUAGGAAGAAAGGGC